RNAcentral lists this ribosomal RNA (495 nucleotides) under uncultured bacterium. Its description in RNAcentral is "bacterial SSU rRNA". It matches the Rfam family "Bacterial small subunit ribosomal RNA", at positions 1 to 507 of the family's 1533-position model. The record is from RNAcentral.
CACUGAGUACGAGUUGAUCAUGGCUACAGGACGAACGCUGGCGGCGUGCCUAACACAUGCAAGUCGAACGGACGAUGGAGAGCUUGCUCUCCAAAGUUAGUGGCGAACGGGUGAGUAACGCGUGGGCAACCUGCCUUUCAGAGGGGGACAACAGUUGGAAACGACUGCUAAUACCGCAUAACAUGAUCUGGCCGCAUGACCGGAUCAUCAAAGAUUUAUCGCUGAAAGAUGGGCUCGCGUCUGAUUAGCUAGUUGGUGGGGUAACGGCCCACCAAGGCGACGAUCAGUAGCCGGACUGAGAGGUUGAACGGCCACAUUGGGACUGAGAUACGGCCCAGACUCCUACGGGAGGCAGCAGUGGGGAAUAUUGGGCAAUGGGGGCAACCCUGACCCAGCAACGCCGCAUGAAGGAAGAAGGCUUUCGGGUUGUAAACUUCUUUUACCAGGGACGAAGACGUGACGGUACCUGGAGAAAAAGCCACGGCUAACUACGUG